Molecule: ribosomal RNA, 1461 nt
Filed under: metagenome
Description: bacterial SSU rRNA
Rfam family: Bacterial small subunit ribosomal RNA
Source: RNAcentral
AGAGUUUGAUCCUGGCUCAGAACGAACGCUGGCGGCAGGCCUAAAACAUGCAAGUCGAACGAACCUUCGGGUUAGUGGCGCACGGGUGAGUAACACGUGGGAAUGUACCUCUGGGUGCGGAACAACGUCGGGAAACUGACGCUAAUACCGCAUAAUAUCUUCGGAUCAAAGAUUUAUCGCCCAGGGAUCAGCCCGCGCUAGAUUAGGUAGUUGGUGAGGUAAGAGCUCACCAAGCCUACGAUCUAUAGCUGGUCUGAGAGGAUGAUCAGCCACACUGGAACUGAGACACGGUCCAGACUCCUACGGGAGGCAGCAGUUAGGAAUAUUGGACAAUGGGGGAAACCCUGAUCCAGCCAUGCCGCGUGUGUGAAGAAGGCCUUAGGGUUGUAAAGCACUUUCGUCUGUGAAGAUAAUGACAGUAGCAGAAGAAGAAGCUCCGGCUAAAUUCGUGCCAGCAGCCGCGGUAAUACGAAUGGAGCGAGCGUUGUUCGGAAUCACUGGGCGUAAAGCGUGCGCAGGCGGUUUUGAAAGUUAGAAGUGAAAGCCCAGGGCUUAACCUUGGAAUUGCUUUUAAAACUUCAAGACUAGAGUACUGGAGGGGUUGGCGGAAUUUCGAGUGUAGCAGUGAAAUGCGUAGAUAUUCGAAGGAACACCGAUGGCGUAGGCAGCCAACUGGACAGUUACUGACGCUCAUGCACGAAAGCGUGGGGAUCAAACAGGAUUAGAUACCCUGGUAGUCCACGCCGUAAACGAUGUGUGCUAGUUGUCGGGCCCUUAGGGUUCGGUGACGCAGCUAACGCUUUAAGCACACCGCCUGGGGAGUACGGUCGCAAGAUUAAAACUCAAAGGAAUUGACGGGGACCCGCACAAGCGGUGGAGCAUGUUGUUUAAUUCGAAGCAACGCGAAGAACCUUACCCACACUUGACAUACCUCUUGGGGCUUUCAGAGAUGAUUGCUUUCGGUUCGGCCGGGGAGGAUACAGGUGCUGCAUGGCUGUCGUCAGCUCGUGUCGUGAGAUGUUGGGUUAAGUCCCGCAACGAGCGCAACCCUUAUCGUAUGUUACCAUCAUUUAGUUGGGGACUCAUGCGAGACUGCCGGUGACAAGCCGGAGGAAGGCGGGGACGACGUCAAGUCAUCAUGGCCCUUACGUGUGGGGCUACAAACGUGCUACAAUGGUGGUUACAGUGGGCAGCGAGGUCGCGAGGCCAAGCUAAUCCCUAAAAGCCAUCUCAGUUCGGAUUGUACUCUGCAACUCGAGUACAUGAAGUUGGAAUCGCUAGUAAUCGUGAAUCAGCAUGUCACGGUGAAUACGUUCCCGGGUCUUGUACACACCGCCCGUCACACCAUGGGAGUUGGUUUUACCCGAAGGCCGUGCGCUAACUACGGAGGCAGCGGACCACGGUAGGAUCAAUGACUGGGGUGAAGUCGAAACAAGGUAGCCGUUUCGGAAGGAGCGGCUG